UGUAAGCGUAUACCAAAGUUGUUGCAGUUAAAACGCUCGUAGUCGGAAUUUGGCAGUUCCGGAUGUGUGCACGUCGUGUGCGCACUUCGCGGGGAUUGCUUUUGUGGUCUUGCGUAGGAUGAGGCACUUUUAUUAGUGAACGUCCUCACGCAACCACUUUUUACUGUGAGAAAAUCAGAGUGCUCAACGCAGGCAUUUGCCGUGAAUGUAUUAGCAUGGAAUAAUAGAAUAGGACUUGGUUCUAUUUUGUUGGUUUGUUGGGACUGAGUAAUGAUUAAGAGGGACAGUUGGGGGCAUUUGUAUUUCGGUGCUAGAGGUGAAAUUCUUAGAUUACCGAAAGACAAACUGCUGCGAAAGCGUCUGCCAAGGAUGUUUUCAUUGA
Molecule: ribosomal RNA, 382 nt
Filed under: uncultured eukaryote
Lineage: Eukaryota
Description: partial 18S ribosomal RNA
Rfam family: Eukaryotic small subunit ribosomal RNA
Source: RNAcentral